GAUGAAGAACGUAGCGAAAUGCGAUAAGUAAUGUGAAUUGCAGAAUUCCGUGAAUCAUCGAAUCUUUGAACGCACAUUGCGCCUUCUGGUAUGCCGGGGGGCAUGCCUGUCCGAGCGUCAUUUGCAACCCUCAAGCCCGGCUUGUGUGAUGGGUGCCGUCCCCUACGGGACGCGCCCCGAAGGCAAUGGCGGCGUCGCGGUUAUCCGAUCAGCCAAAGUGUAUGGGGCUUUGUCACUCACUUUACGGCCCGGACCGGCGCCAGUCCGAAUCAAUCUUUUUUCUAAAGUUGACCUCGGAUCAGGUAGGGAUACCCGCUGAACUUAAGCAUAUCAAUAGCGGAGGA
This 344-nucleotide unclassified non-coding RNA is filed under the name soil metagenome. RNAcentral describes it as "partial contains 5.8S ribosomal RNA, internal transcribed spacer 2, and large subunit ribosomal RNA". The stretch from base 1 to 120 matches the Rfam family "5.8S ribosomal RNA", at positions 35 to 154 of the family's 154-position model. The record is from RNAcentral.